UAGGGAAUCUUCGGCAAUGGACGAAAGUCUGACCGAGCAACGCCGCGUGAGUGAAGAAGGUUUUCGGAUCGUAAAACUCUGUUGUUAGAGAAGAACAAGGACGUUAGUAACUGAACGUCCCCUGACGGUAUCUAACCAGAAAUCCACGGCUAACUACGUGCCAGCAGCCGCGGUAAUACGUAGGUGGCAAGCGUUGUCCGGAUUUAUUGGGCGUAAAGCGAGCGCAGGCGGUUUCUUAAGUCUGAUGUGAAAGCCCCCGGCUCAACCGGGGAGGGUCAUUGGAAACUGGGAGACUUGAGUGCAGAAGAGGAGAGUGGAAUUCCAUGUGUAGCGGUGAAAUGCGUAGAUAUAUGGAGGAACACCAGUGGCGAAGGCGGCUCUCUGGUCUGUAACUGACGCUGAGGCUCGAAAGCGUGGGGAGCAAACAGG
Molecule: ribosomal RNA, 429 nt
Filed under: Gemmatimonadota bacterium
Lineage: Bacteria; Pseudomonadati; Gemmatimonadota
Description: Gemmatimonadetes bacterium partial 16S ribosomal RNA
Rfam family: Bacterial small subunit ribosomal RNA
Source: RNAcentral